GAUGAAGAACGUAGCGAAAUGCGAUACGUAAUGUGAAUUGCAGAAUUCAGUGAGUCAUCGAAUCUUUGAACGCACAUUGCGCCCUGUGGUAUUCCGCAGGGCAUGCCUGUUCGAGCGUCAUUUCAACCCUCAAGCUCUGCUUGGUGUUGGGCCCUGCCCGCUGCGGCCGGCCCUAAAGACAGUGGCGGUGCCGCCUGGCCCUGAGCGUAGUACAUCUCUCGCUCCAGUGCCCGGUGGUAGCCUGCCAGAACCCCAACUCUCGUGGUUGACCUCGAAUCAGGUAGGGAUACCCGCUGAACUUAAGCAUAUCAAUAAGCGGAGGA
RNAcentral lists this unclassified non-coding RNA (323 nucleotides) under soil metagenome. RNAcentral's name for it is "partial contains 5.8S ribosomal RNA, internal transcribed spacer 2, and large subunit ribosomal RNA". The stretch from base 1 to 120 matches the Rfam family "5.8S ribosomal RNA", at positions 35 to 154 of the family's 154-position model. The record is from RNAcentral.